Molecule: transfer RNA, 76 nt
Filed under: Coriobacteriales bacterium
Lineage: Bacteria; Bacillati; Actinomycetota; Coriobacteriia; Coriobacteriales
Description: tRNA-Lys
Rfam family: tRNA
About the family: Transfer RNA (tRNA) molecules are approximately 80 nucleotides in length. Their secondary structure includes four short double-helical elements and three loops (D, anti-codon, and T loops). Further hydrogen bonds mediate the characteristic L-shaped molecular structure. tRNAs have two regions of fundamental functional importance: the anti-codon, which is responsible for specific mRNA codon recognition, and the 3' end, to which the tRNAs corresponding amino acid is attached (by aminoacyl-tRNA synthetases). tRNAs cope with the degeneracy of the genetic code in two manners: having more than one tRNA (with a specific anti-codon) for a particular amino acid; and 'wobble' base-pairing, i.e. permitting non-standard base-pairing at the 3rd anti-codon position.
Source: RNAcentral
GCGCCGUUAGCUCAGCUGGCAGAGCAGAGGACUUUUAAUCCUAAGGUCCGGGGUUCGAACCCCCGACGGCGCACCA